GCGUGCGGUGACGCGGGCCUGUGGUCCUAGCUACUCCGGAGGCUGAGGAGGGAGGGGCUGGAGCCCAGGAGUUCUGGGCCGCAGUGCGCUAUGCCGAUUGGGUGUCUGCACUAAGUUCGGCAACAAUACGGGGACCUCCCGGGAACGGGGGACCACCAGGUUGCCUAAGGAGGGGUGAACCGGCCCAGGAUGGAAACGGAGCAGGUCGAAACUCCCGUGCUGAUCAGUAGUAGGAUCGCGCUUGUGAACAGCCACCGCACUCGAGGCUGGGCAACAUAGCGGGACCUCAUCUCUU
This 295-nucleotide signal recognition particle RNA is filed under the name Saimiri boliviensis boliviensis (Bolivian squirrel monkey). Its description in RNAcentral is "Metazoan signal recognition particle RNA (ENSSBOG00000001204.1)". It matches the Rfam family "Metazoan signal recognition particle RNA". Rfam says of the family: The signal recognition particle (SRP) is a universally conserved ribonucleoprotein. The record is from Rfam by way of RNAcentral. Lineage: Eukaryota; Metazoa; Chordata; Mammalia; Primates; Cebidae.